GACGAACGCUGGCGGCGUGCUUAACACAUGCAAGUCGAACGGAAAGGCCCUGCUUUUGUGGGGUGCUCGAGUGGCGAACGGGUGAGUAACACGUGAGUAACCUGCCCUUGACUUUGGGAUAACUUCAGGAAACUGGUGCUAAUACCGGAUAGGAGCUCCUGCUGCAUGGUGGGGGUUGGAAAGUUCCGGCGGUUGGGGAUGGACUCGCGGUUUAUCAGCUUGUUGGUGGGGUAGUGGCUUACCAAGGCUUUGACGGGUAGCCGGCCUGAGAGGGUGACCGGCCACAUUAGGACUGAGAUAGGGACCAGACUCGUACGGGAGGCAGCAGUGGGGAAUAUUGCACAAUGGGCGGAAGCCUGAUGCAGCAACGCCGCGUGCGGGAUGACGGCCUUCGGGUUGUAAACCGCUUUCGCCUGUGACGAAGCGUGAGUGACGGUAAUGGGUAAAGAAGCACCGGCUAACUACGUG
This 468-nucleotide ribosomal RNA is filed under the name uncultured bacterium. Its description in RNAcentral is "partial 16S ribosomal RNA". It matches the Rfam family "Bacterial small subunit ribosomal RNA", at positions 28 to 507 of the family's 1533-position model. The record is from RNAcentral.